RNAcentral lists this transfer RNA (85 nucleotides) under Felis catus (domestic cat). It matches the Rfam family "tRNA". Rfam says of the family: Transfer RNA (tRNA) molecules are approximately 80 nucleotides in length. Their secondary structure includes four short double-helical elements and three loops (D, anti-codon, and T loops). Further hydrogen bonds mediate the characteristic L-shaped molecular structure. tRNAs have two regions of fundamental functional importance: the anti-codon, which is responsible for specific mRNA codon recognition, and the 3' end, to which the tRNAs corresponding amino acid is attached (by aminoacyl-tRNA synthetases). tRNAs cope with the degeneracy of the genetic code in two manners: having more than one tRNA (with a specific anti-codon) for a particular amino acid; and 'wobble' base-pairing, i.e. permitting non-standard base-pairing at the 3rd anti-codon position. Lineage: Eukaryota; Metazoa; Chordata; Mammalia; Carnivora; Felidae. The record is from Rfam by way of RNAcentral.
GCCUGGGUGGCUCAGUCGGUUAAGCGUCUGACUUCGGCUCAGGUCAUGAUCUCGCGGUCUGUGAGUUCGAGUCCCACAUCGGGCU